UAGGGAAUCUUCCACAAUGGGGGCAACCCUGACCGAGCAACGCCGCGUGAGUGAAGAAGGUUUUCGGAUCGUAAAGCUCUGUUGUAAGAGAAGAACGUGUGUGAGAGUGGAAAGUUCACACAGUGACGGUAACUUACCAGAAAGGGACGGCUAACUACGUGCAG
RNAcentral lists this ribosomal RNA (164 nucleotides) under uncultured bacterium. RNAcentral's name for it is "partial 16S rRNA". It matches the Rfam family "Bacterial small subunit ribosomal RNA", at positions 355 to 510 of the family's 1533-position model. The record is from RNAcentral.